GCGGAGGGAUCAUUACAGAGUUGCAAAACUCCCACAAACCAUUGUGAACACACCCCCAAACCGUUGCCUCGGCGGGCGCGGACGGGCCCCCUGAAAGACGGGCGCCCCGAAGCGCUGUAGCCCGCCGGAGCCAAACGCAAACUAUUGUUUAACCACUGGCUUCUUCUGAGUAACGUACUUAAAUAAGUCAAAACUUUCAACAACGGAUCUCUUGGUUCUGGCAUCGAUGAAGAACGCAGCGAAAUGCGAUAAGUAAUGUGAAUUGCAGAAUUCAGUGAAUCAUCGAAUCUUUGAACGCACAUUGCGCCCGCCAGUAUUCUGGCGGGCAUGCCUGUUCGAGCGUCAUUUCAACCAUCAAGCCCCCGGCUUGUGUUGGGGACCCGCGGCUGCCGCGGGCCCUGAAAGACAGUGGCGGUCUCGCUGUAGCACCGAGCGUAGUAGCAUACACCUCGCUCAGGGCGCGCAGCGGGCUUCCUGCCGUAAAACCCCCCCCCUUCUUUUACAAGGUUGACCUCGGAUCAGGUAGGAAUACCCGCUGAACUUAAGCAUAUCAAUAAGCGGAGGA
RNAcentral lists this ribosomal RNA (565 nucleotides) under Podospora inflatula. RNAcentral describes it as "eukaryotic LSU rRNA". The stretch from base 192 to 345 matches the Rfam family "5.8S ribosomal RNA". The record is from RNAcentral. Lineage: Eukaryota; Fungi; Ascomycota; Sordariomycetes; Sordariales; Podosporaceae.